Molecule: ribosomal RNA, 251 nt
Filed under: uncultured bacterium
Lineage: Bacteria
Description: partial 16S ribosomal RNA
Rfam family: Bacterial small subunit ribosomal RNA
Source: RNAcentral
UACGUAGGGGGCUAGCGUUAUCCGGAAUUACUGGGCGUAAAGGGUGCGUAGGUGGUUUCUUAAGUCAGAGGUGAAAGGCUACGGCUCAACCGUAGUAAGCCUUUGAAACUGGGGAACUUGAGUGCAGGAGAGGAGAGUGGAAUUCCUAGUGUAGCGGUGAAAUGCGUAGAUAUUAGGAGGAACACCAGUUGCGAAGGCGGCUCUCUGGACUGUAACUGACACUGAGGCACGAAAGCGUGGGGAGCAAACAG